RNAcentral lists this transfer RNA (72 nucleotides) under Aspergillus terreus. Its description in RNAcentral is "tRNA-Cys". It matches the Rfam family "tRNA". From Rfam's summary of the family: Transfer RNA (tRNA) molecules are approximately 80 nucleotides in length. Their secondary structure includes four short double-helical elements and three loops (D, anti-codon, and T loops). Further hydrogen bonds mediate the characteristic L-shaped molecular structure. tRNAs have two regions of fundamental functional importance: the anti-codon, which is responsible for specific mRNA codon recognition, and the 3' end, to which the tRNAs corresponding amino acid is attached (by aminoacyl-tRNA synthetases). tRNAs cope with the degeneracy of the genetic code in two manners: having more than one tRNA (with a specific anti-codon) for a particular amino acid; and 'wobble' base-pairing, i.e. permitting non-standard base-pairing at the 3rd anti-codon position. RNAcentral also lists the same sequence under 1 other name. The record is from RNAcentral. Lineage: Eukaryota; Fungi; Ascomycota; Eurotiomycetes; Eurotiales; Aspergillaceae.
GCACCGGUAGAUCAGUGGUAGAUCAUGAGAUUGCAGAUCUUAGGGUCCUGUGUUCGAACCACAGUCGGUGCU